RNAcentral lists this ribosomal RNA (1192 nucleotides) under metagenome. RNAcentral describes it as "bacterial SSU rRNA". It matches the Rfam family "Bacterial small subunit ribosomal RNA", at positions 307 to 1520 of the family's 1533-position model. The record is from RNAcentral.
CUCACACUGGAACUGAGACACGGUCCAGACUCCUACGGGAGGCAGCAGUGGGGAAUAUUGCACAAUGGACGAAAGUCUGAUGCAGCAACGCCGCGUGGAGGAUGACACAUUUCGGUGCGUAAACUCCUUUUAUAUAGGAAGAUAAUGACGGUACUAUAUGAAUAAGCACCGGCUAACUCCGUGCCAGCAGCCGCGGUAAUACGGAGGGUGCAAGCGUUACUCGGAAUUACUGGGCGUAAAGAGCGUGUAGGCGGGUAAAUAAGUUGGAAGUGAAAUCCUACGGCUCAACCAUAGAACUGCUUCCAAAACUGUUAACCUAGAAUGUGGGAGAGGUAGAUGGAAUUUCCGGUGUAGGGGUAAAAUCCGUAGAUAUCAGAAGGAAUACCGAUUGCGAAGGCGAUCUACUGGAACACUAUUGACGCUGAGACGCGAAAGCGUGGGGAGCAAACAGGAUUAGAUACCCUGGUAGUCCACGCCCUAAACGAUGUACACUAGUUGUUGUGAGGCUAGACCUUGCAGUAAUGCAGUUAACACAUUAAGUGUACCGCCUGGGGAGUACGGUCGCAAGAUUAAAACUCAAAGGAAUAGACGGGGACCCGCACAAGCGGUGGAGCAUAUGGUUUAAUUCGACUAUACGCGAAGAACCUUACCUGGUCUUGACAUAGAAAGAACUUUCCAGAGAUGGAUUGGUGCCUGCUUGCAGGAGCUUUCAUACAGGUGCUGCACGGCUGUCGUCAGCUCGUGUCGUGAGAUGUUGGGUUAAGUCCCGCAACGAGCGCAACCCUCGUCGUUAGUUGCUAACAGUUCGGCUGAGAACUCUAACGAGACUGCCUACGCAAGUAGGAGGAAGGUGAGGACGACGUCAAGUCAUCAUGGCCCUUACGACCAGGGCUACACACGUGCUACAAUGGGGUAUACAAAGAGCAGCGAUACGGUGACGUGGAGCGAAUCUCAAAAAUGCCUCCCAGUUCGGAUAGUAGUCUGCAGCUCGACUACCUGAAGUUGGAAUCGCUAGUAAUCGUAGAUCAGCUAUGCUACGGUGAAUACGUUCCCGGGUCUUGUACUCACCGCCCGUCACACCAUGGGAGUUGAAUUCAUUCGAAGCGGGGAUGCUAAAAUAGCUACCUUCCACAGUGGAUUUAGCGACUGGGGUGAAGUCGGAACAAGGUAACCGUAGGAGAACCUGCGGUUG